RNAcentral lists this ribosomal RNA (541 nucleotides) under Escherichia coli. RNAcentral describes it as "partial 23S ribosomal RNA". It matches the Rfam family "Bacterial large subunit ribosomal RNA", at positions 614 to 1155 of the family's 2925-position model. Lineage: Bacteria; Pseudomonadati; Pseudomonadota; Gammaproteobacteria; Enterobacterales; Enterobacteriaceae. The record is from RNAcentral.
AAUGGGUCAGCGACUUAUAUUCUGUAGCAAGGUUAACCGAAUAGGGGAGCCGAAGGGAAACCGAGUCUUAACUGGGCGUUAAGUUGCAGGGUAUAGACCCGAAACCCGGUGAUCUAGCCAUGGGCAGGUUGAAGGUUGGGUAACACUAACUGGAGGACCGAACCGACUAAUGUUGAAAAAUUAGCGGAUGACUUGUGGCUGGGGGUGAAAGGCCAAUCAAACCGGGAGAUAGCUGGUUCUCCCCGAAAGCUAUUUAGGUAGCGCCUCGUGAAUUCAUCUCCGGGGGUAGAGCACUGUUUCGGCAAGGGGGUCAUCCCGACUUACCAACCCGAUGCAAACUGCGAAUACCGGAGAAUGUUAUCACGGGAGACACACGGCGGGUGCUAACGUCCGUCGUGAAGAGGGAAACAACCCAGACCGCCAGCUAAGGUCCCAAAGUCAUGGUUAAGUGGGAAACGAUGUGGGAAGGCCCAGACAGCCAGGAUGUUGGCUUAGAAGCAGCCAUCAUUUAAAGAAAGCGUAAUAGCUCACUGGUCGAGUC